GACGAACGCUGGCGGCGUGCCUAAUACAUGCAAGUCGAACGCUUCGUUCCUCACGAUUGCUUGCACUCGAUUGGAAAGAGGAGUGGCGGACGGGUGAGUAACACGUGGGUAACCUACCCAUCAGCGGGGGAUAACACUUGGUAACAGGUGCUAAUAUCGUAUAAAACUUUAUGAAGUAUGGAAUAAGAGUGAAAGGGGUAGUUGGGUGGGGUUGAUGGAUGGAUCCGCGGUGCAUUAGCUAGUUGGUGAGGUAACGGCUCACCAAGGCAACGAUGCAUAGCCGACCUGAGAGGGUGAUCGGCCACACUGGGACUGAGGCACGGCCCAGACUCCUACGGGAGGCAGCAGUAGUGAAUCUUCCACACUUGCCAAAACUCUUACCCAACAACACCACGUUAGUUAAGAAGGUUUUCGGAUCGUAAAACUCUGUUGUUAGGGAAGAACAAGGACAUUAAUAACUAAGCUUCCCCUAACUUUCUCUCAUCAGAAAUCCACGGCUAACUACCUG
RNAcentral lists this ribosomal RNA (508 nucleotides) under uncultured bacterium. RNAcentral describes it as "partial 16S ribosomal RNA". It matches the Rfam family "Bacterial small subunit ribosomal RNA", at positions 28 to 507 of the family's 1533-position model. The record is from RNAcentral.